RNAcentral lists this ribosomal RNA (158 nucleotides) under Ixodes nipponensis. Its description in RNAcentral is "partial 16S ribosomal RNA". Lineage: Eukaryota; Metazoa; Arthropoda; Arachnida; Ixodida; Ixodidae. The record is from RNAcentral.
CCCUGAUGCACAAGGUACCAAAAUGUGCUUUUCAAAUUUUACAAUUUUCAAAUUUUCAUUUUUCCUUUACAGUUUUUUAAAAAAACCUUUUUUACAAAAAUACAAAUUUUAAUAAAAAUUUAUUCUUUUUUAUCUCGAUUGUUUCUUUUUUAUAAAAA